UGAGGAAUAUUGGUCAAUGGGCGCAAGCCUGAACCAGCCAUCCCGCGUGCAGGAAGACGGCCCUAUGGGUUGUAAACUGCUUUUCCAGGGAGAGAAACUUGCGUACGCGUUGCGCAAUUGACGGUACCCUGGGAAUAAGCAUCGGCUAACUCCGUGCCAGCAGCCGCGGUAAUACGGAGGAUGCGAGCGGUAUCCGGAUUCAUUGGGUUUAAAGGGUGCGUAGGCGGACUAGUAAGUCAGUGGUGAAAUCCUGCAGCUUAACGGCAGAACUGCCAGUGAUACUGAUAGCCUUGAGUUUGGUUAAGGUAGUCGGAAUGUGUAAUGUAGCGGUGAAAUGCUUAGAUAUUACACAGAACACCAAUUGCGUAGGCAGCUUACUGAGCCGACACUGACGCUGAGGCACGAAAGCGUGGGGAUCGAACA
Molecule: ribosomal RNA, 423 nt
Filed under: uncultured prokaryote
Description: bacterial SSU rRNA
Rfam family: Bacterial small subunit ribosomal RNA
Source: RNAcentral